RNAcentral lists this ribosomal RNA (208 nucleotides) under uncultured bacterium. RNAcentral describes it as "partial 16S ribosomal RNA". It matches the Rfam family "Bacterial small subunit ribosomal RNA", at positions 568 to 774 of the family's 1533-position model. The record is from RNAcentral.
CGUGUAGGCGGUUUGUUAAGUCAUGUGUGAAAUCCCUCGGCUCAACCGGGGAACGACGCAUGAAACUGACAAGCUAGAGUACCAAAGAGGGGGGUGGAAUUCCCGGUGUAGCGGUGAAACGCGUAGAUAUCGGGAGGAACACCGGUGGCGAAGGCGGCCCCCCUGGUUGGAUACUGACGCUGAGACGCGAAAGCGUGGGGAGCAAACA